GUGUCAGCCGCCGCGGUAAUACCAGCACCCCGAGUGGUCGGGAUGAUUAUUGGGCCUAAAGCAUCCGUAGCCGGUGUAACAAGUCCUCCGUUAAAUCCACCUGCUUAACAGGUGGGCUGCGGAGGAUACUGUUACACUAGGAGGCGGGAGAGGCGAGGGGUAUUCCACGGGUAGGGGUAAAAUCCUCUGAUCCGUGGAGGACCACCAGUGGCGAAGGCGCCUCGCCAGAACGCGCUCGACGGUGAGGGAUGAAAGCGGGGGGAGCAAACCGGAUUAGAUACCCGGGUAGUCCCAGCCGUAAACGAUGUAGGCUCGGUGAUGGACUGGCUCCGAGCCAGUCCAGUGCCGCAGGGAAGCCGUUAAGCCUACCGCCUGGGGAGUACGGCCGCAAGGCUGAAACUUAAAGGAAUUGACGGGG
This 418-nucleotide ribosomal RNA is filed under the name uncultured prokaryote. RNAcentral describes it as "bacterial SSU rRNA". It matches the Rfam family "Archaeal small subunit ribosomal RNA", at positions 455 to 873 of the family's 1478-position model. The record is from RNAcentral.